AAAAUAGUGUGCAAUCUUAUCAAACUUUGGUGAUCAUAAUUCAAAAAUAUUUCUUGAAGUAUGAUUUAAUGGCAACACUCAGAAACCUUUGACUCGAGGAAUUUUUGAACACCAUUGAAAUCCUUCGCUUCAAACGUUAGUAGUGGGCAUGCUAUAAAACUUUAGUGAUUUUGAAAUGAUUCUUGAAGCAGGAUUUAAUGGCAACACUCAUAAACCUUUCAUUCGAGGAACUUUUGAACACAUCAUUGAAAUCCUUCAUUUUAUAUGAAUCUAAAAUUCCUCAUUGUUAUGAUGUGAUAUGCUUAUAAGUUGUAGGAGAGACAUUGAUUCUUUGAGUUGAAAUAUUAAAUAAAUUAUGAAAUGUAUGGGAUUAAAAAUUAAUGUAAUUUAUCUACAAUAUUUU
This 403-nucleotide long non-coding RNA is filed under the name Lathyrus oleraceus (garden pea). RNAcentral describes it as "Pisum sativum (pea) long non-coding RNA (PSAT_LNC018852)". Lineage: Eukaryota; Viridiplantae; Streptophyta; Magnoliopsida; Fabales; Fabaceae. The record is from RNAcentral.